This 951-nucleotide long non-coding RNA is filed under the name Nicotiana benthamiana. RNAcentral describes it as "long non-coding RNA (NBEN_LNC019678)". Lineage: Eukaryota; Viridiplantae; Streptophyta; Magnoliopsida; Solanales; Solanaceae. The record is from RNAcentral.
AACAAAACAAAUUUUGUUUUUAGCGGAUAAUGCAACAAUCAUUUUUCUCCUCCAACACCCAUAACCACUUCCCGAGAAGGGAGUGGGGACAAGAGAGACCCCAGGGACAUCAGAGGAGUAUACAAAGAGGGGGCUGGUAGAGUCUACCGAGGAGGAGGUACCAGCAUUUGUAUUAGAAGCCAUGAUUAAUGAACCAGCUUGAAAGAAAAAAUAGUUUCGACAAGCAAAGUAUAACGAAACCAGAUAUUCACACAAAAAACCAGAUACUCACAUACGGAUCCAGAUAAUCACACACAAAGCAUACAAUAAGGACAGAGUUACCCUCCUUCUUCACGACCGGAGAAGAUCGGCCUUCCAUCAACAGAGAAAACCCUAGGUACAAAACCCUAGGUGCAACCGUCAAAAACCUUACUGGAAAUAUGGUCAGGGAUGUCGAAAAGUCACCCAAAACAUCCACUGAGUGAGGAUCGAGCCACCGGAUAGCAGUAAAACUCUAUGUUAAACCACCAGAAACCCUAGAAGCCGAUAGGUCACCCAAAAAUUACCAAAAAAUCAUCAGAAAAUCUCCCAGAACGUUCGAGUGAAGAAAAUACACUCAGAUAUCACGAGUAGAAGCUGGUAAGUCACCGAAAAAUCACCAGAAAAUCUCCCAGAACGUUCGAGUGAAGAAGAUAUACUCAGAUAUCACGAUAAAAGUCUCAGAAAAGUAUCCGAUUUAGAUCGGAAUCGUCAUCGACCACAUGCGUCAGAAACACCCCCAAAAAUCUCAAACGAGACUUCAACCAACAUAACAAGAUGCAGAAAAACAUAGUCGGAUCAUCGUCUAUGCUCUGAUACCAUGAAAACAUUAAGAUUAAACUGAAGAAUCAUGGAGAAUAUAGUGAGAAAAACAAGAGAACGAAAGGGGUAGUAGAGAGAAGGAUCGAGAAGAUCCAAGAGAGAAGAUUUUUA